GACAGAGGGUGCAAACGUUGUUCGGAUUUACUGGGCGUAAAGCGCGUGUAGGCGGCUUUGCAAGUCGGAUGUGAAAGCCCACGGCUCAACCGUGGAAGUGCAUCCGAAACUGCAUGGCUCGAGUCUCGGAGAGGAAGGUGGAAUGCUUGGUGUAGAGGUGAAAUGCGUAGAUAUCGGGAGGAACACCGUUGGCGAAGGCGACUUUCUGGGCUGCUACUGACGCUGAGGUGCGAAAGCCAGGGGAGCGAACAGG
RNAcentral lists this ribosomal RNA (253 nucleotides) under uncultured bacterium. RNAcentral describes it as "partial 16S ribosomal RNA". It matches the Rfam family "Bacterial small subunit ribosomal RNA", at positions 524 to 776 of the family's 1533-position model. The record is from RNAcentral.